RNAcentral lists this ribosomal RNA (119 nucleotides) under Triticum aestivum (bread wheat). The record is from RNAcentral. Lineage: Eukaryota; Viridiplantae; Streptophyta; Magnoliopsida; Poales; Poaceae.
GGAUGCGAUCGUACCAGCACUAAAGCACCGGAUCCCAUCAGAACUCCGAAGUCAAGCGUGCUUGGGCGAGAGUAGUACUAGGAUGGGUGACCUCCUGGGAAGUCCUCGUGUUGCAUUCC